CGUAGUUCAGUCGGUAGAACGGCGGACUGUUAAUCCGUAUGUCACUGGUUCGAGUCCAGUCG
RNAcentral lists this transfer RNA (62 nucleotides) under insect gut metagenome. It matches the Rfam family "tRNA", at positions 6 to 65 of the family's 71-position model. Rfam says of the family: Transfer RNA (tRNA) molecules are approximately 80 nucleotides in length. The record is from RNAcentral.